GAGCGGCGGACGACUGCGUAACACGUUGGAACCUACCCCAGACUCAGGGAUAACUCCGGGAAACCGGUGCUAAUACCGGAUGGUCUCGUAAGAGUAAAGCUUUUGCGGUCUGGGAGGGGCCUGCGGCCUAUCAGCUUGUUGGUAAGGUAACGGCUUACCAAGGCUAUGACGGGUAGCUGAUCUGAGAGGAUGAUCAGCCAGAAUGGGACUGAGACACGGCCCAUACUCCUACGGGAGGCAGCAGUGAGGAAUCUUUCGCAAUGGACGCAAGUCUGACGGAGCGACACCGCGUGGAGGAUGACACCAUUUUUUGGCGUAAACUCCUGUUCUGAGGGAACAAAUUUUUGAGGGUACCUCAGGAGAAAGCACCGGCUAAUUCCGUGCCAGCAGCCGCGGUAAGACGGAAGGUGCAAGCGUUACUCGGAAUCACUGGGCGUAAAGCGUCUGUAGGCUGCAAAGUCAGUCUGCGGUGAAAGGUGGGAGCUCAACUCCCAUUACGUCGCGGAAACUGCUUUGCUCGAGCAAUUCAGAGGCACCUGGAAUGCUGUGUGUAGGGGUAAAAUCCGUUGAGACACAGUGGAACGCUAAAAGUGAAGACAGGGUGCUGGGGAUUUGCUGACGCUGAGAGACGAAAGCGUGGGUAGCGAACGGGAUUAGAUACCCCGGUAGUCCACGCCCUAAACGAUGCGUGCUCGGUGUGGGGGAACGUUCAAUCGAUCCUCCGUGCCUCAGCUAACGCGGUAAGCACGCCGCCUGGGUAGUACGGCCGCAAGGCUAAAACCUAAAGGAAUAGACGGGGACCCACACAAGCGGUGGAGCAUGGGGUUUAAUUCGAUAGUAAGCGGGGCACCUCACCCAGGUUUGACAUCUUAGGAAGAUUCUAGAAACAGAAUCGUGCCGCAAGGAACCUAAUGACAGGCGCUGCACGGUCGUCGUCAGCUCGUGCCUUGAGGUGUGUUGUUAAGUCAAUGAACGAGCGCAACCCUCAUCCUGUGUUGCUUUUUCACAGGAGACUGCCGGCUCCAAGUCGGAGGAAGGUGAGGAUGACGUCAGAUCAGCGUGGCCCUUAUACCUGGGGCGACACCCAUGCUACAAUGGCCGGUACAGCGAGCAGCAAAGUCGUAAGGCUGAGCGAAUCUCUUAAAGUCGGUCUCAGUUCGGAUUGAAGUCUGCAACUCGACUUCAUGAAGUUGGAAUCGCUAGUAACCGUGAAUCAGCCACGUCACGGUGAAUAUGUUCCUGGGUCUUGUACUCACCGCCCGUCAAGUCAUGAAAGGCAGAAACACCCGAAGCACCUUUACCCGCAAGGGGGGGUACCACGGUGGAAUUGCUGAUUGGGACUAAGUCGUAACAAGGUAUCC
Molecule: ribosomal RNA, 1361 nt
Filed under: uncultured Microgenomates group bacterium
Lineage: Bacteria
Description: uncultured Microgenomates bacterium 16S ribosomal RNA
Rfam family: Bacterial small subunit ribosomal RNA
Source: RNAcentral